GCCGCGGCGGGGGAGGGGGCUGGGCUGGGCUGGACUCGCUCGGAGCGCGGCGUUGGAAGCUGCCC
Molecule: microRNA precursor, 65 nt
Filed under: Pteropus vampyrus (large flying fox)
Lineage: Eukaryota; Metazoa; Chordata; Mammalia; Chiroptera; Pteropodidae
Description: miRNA (ENSPVAG00000026377.1)
Source: RNAcentral